RNAcentral lists this long non-coding RNA (1004 nucleotides) under Monodelphis domestica (gray short-tailed opossum). Its description in RNAcentral is "lncRNA (ENSMODG00000040960.1)". The record is from RNAcentral. Lineage: Eukaryota; Metazoa; Chordata; Mammalia; Didelphimorphia; Didelphidae.
ACUACAAGAAGACCACAACAAAAGAAAAAGCCUGGACAUAAUACUAGAGGAACUUAUCCAGGAAAACUGUCCCGAGAUCCUAGAACAAGAGGGGAGAGUGGAGAUUGAAAGACUCCACAGAUCACCCCCUGUAUUUAAUCCCCAACUGGCAACACCAAGAAAUGUUAUAACCAAAUUCAAAAACAAUCAGAUGAAAGAAAAGAUAUUACAAGCUGCCAAGAAGAAGCCAUUCAGAUACCAUGGAAAUACGGUGAGGUCAACACAGGAUCUGGCUGCAUCCACACUGAAGGCAUGGAAUACAAUAUUCUGGAAAGCAACAGAACUAGGUCUACAACCAAGAAUAAAAUACCCAUCAAAACUGACUAUAUUCUUACAGGGGAAAGUAUGGUCAUUUAACACAACAGAAGAGUUCCAAGCAUUCAUAAAUAAAAGACCAGACCUGAACAGAAAAUUUGACGUCCAACCACAGAACUCAAGAGAAUCAUCAAAAGAUCCUACAACCAUAUUAGAGAAGGGAAAAGGAAAAAUAAAAACAAAAAACGGAGAACAAACACAAACAGACCUCUCGGGCAAGACCAGAGACAGGGCAGAAAACAAUACAGAGAAUUCAAGUUCAGAGAAGACCUCCACACAAAGCCAGUAGUAUCUGCUGUGUUUAAUGGACAAUUGUGAUUUAGUGUUUGUUCACCACUGGACCAGCUGCUCCCUCUGUGGUCUUUUACAACCUUGUGUUCAACCAAGAAUUGCACAGGGGUCCAGCACAUGGUGGGCUGUAGUGAGCAAUGUCCUGACACCCUGGUGUCAAUGCCCUAGUGACUUUGGAAUAUCCUCAGUCACAUCAACUAGGACAAGGGCCGAUGUCUGGCCUACUAUGGCAACUGCACGGAACUUUAGCUCAAACUCUGUACAGUCUUUUUUUUUUUAAAUCUUAUUCCUCAAAAAGGUGCUUGAUCUAAGUCAAGUGUAAGAAUAAAGGUGCAGACAUAUCAUAAAUACUGAGGGAU